AUUGAACGCUGGCGGCAGGCCUAACACAUGCAAGUCGAGCGGAUGAAGGGAGCUUGCUUCUGGAUUCAGCGGCGGACGGGUGAGUAAUGCCUAGGAAUCUGCCUGGUAGUGGGGGAUAACGUCCGGAAACGGGCGCUAAUACCGCAUACGUCCUGAGGGAGAAAGUGGGGGAUCUUCGGACCUCACGCUAUCAGAUGAGCCUAGGUCGGACUAGCUAGUUGGUGGGGUAAAGGCCUACCAAGGCGACGAUCCGUAACUGGUCUGAGAGGAUGAUCAGUCACACUGGAACUGAGACACGGUCCAGACUCCUACGGGAGGCAGCAGUGGGGAAUAUUGGACAAUGGGCGAAAGCCUGAUCCAGCCAUGCCGCGUGUGUGAAGAAGGUCUUCGGAUUGUAAAGCACUUUAAGUUGGGAGGAAGGGCAGUAAGUUAAUACCUUGCUGUUUUGACGUUACCAACAGAAUAAGCACCGGCUAACUUCGUG
Molecule: ribosomal RNA, 484 nt
Filed under: uncultured bacterium
Lineage: Bacteria
Description: partial 16S ribosomal RNA
Rfam family: Bacterial small subunit ribosomal RNA
Source: RNAcentral